This 255-nucleotide ribosomal RNA is filed under the name uncultured Actinomycetales bacterium. Its description in RNAcentral is "partial 16S ribosomal RNA". It matches the Rfam family "Bacterial small subunit ribosomal RNA", at positions 78 to 334 of the family's 1533-position model. The record is from RNAcentral. Lineage: Bacteria; Bacillati; Actinomycetota; Actinomycetes; Actinomycetales.
UUUUGUGGGGUGCUCGAGUGGCGAACGGGUGAGUAACACGUGAGUAACCUGCCCUUGACUUUGGGAUAACUUCAGGGAACCGGGGCUAAUACCGGAUAGGAGCUCCUGCUGCAUGGUGGGGGUUGGAAAGUUUCGGCGGUUGGGGAUGGACUCGCGGCUUAUCAGCUUGUUGGUGGGGUAGUGGCUUACCAAGGCUUUGACGGGUAGCCGGCCUGAGAGGGUGACCGGCCACAUUGGGACUGAGAUACGGCCCAG